Small nucleolar RNA from Vicia villosa (hairy vetch), 107 nucleotides. Lineage: Eukaryota; Viridiplantae; Streptophyta; Magnoliopsida; Fabales; Fabaceae. The record is from RefSeq and is a predicted model, not a curated record.
AGUCCAUGAUGGGGAUAUAACCUCAACAUUUCCUUAAAUCGCUCUCAUGAUUCAUAGAGCAUUUGUCUAUCUUUUUAAGUAAAACUGGUUAUUUGAUUUCUCAGUAU